GGCGAACUUAUACUCUGAGUGCACUCUGGCUUCAAUGAUGCCCCAAACGUAGCUGGUUCUCUCUCAUCCACGCUCAAGAGAUUUGGUGCCACAUUUCUGAUCCGGGAUUGGACAGCCCCAAUUGUAUCAUAGGGCAAGCGUACCCCUGCAACCUCAGAGAGAGCACGAAUUAUCUUCCAGUCAUCCCUGGCAUCACCAACCGUUGGAACUGCCGGCAAAGUCUGUUGUGCACAGCCUUCUGUAUUUACGUAAGUCCCUUCCUUUUCAGUGAAUGCUGCUGCUGGCAAAAUGACAUUGGCAUGAUAAACUCCACGAUCCCCAUGGUGCCCCUGAUAAACCAUGAAGGCAUCCUUUGGCAGCUUGUCCAAGUUCACAUCAUCGGCACCCAUCAAAUACACAAACUUGGCAGACUCAAUACUAUUGCUGGAUUCUGGUACAAGUCCAAGGUCAAGAGCGGCAG
RNAcentral lists this unclassified non-coding RNA (460 nucleotides) under Hevea brasiliensis (rubber tree). Lineage: Eukaryota; Viridiplantae; Streptophyta; Magnoliopsida; Malpighiales; Euphorbiaceae. The record is from RNAcentral.